Molecule: long non-coding RNA, 222 nt
Organism: Dalotia coriaria
Lineage: Eukaryota; Metazoa; Arthropoda; Insecta; Coleoptera; Staphylinidae
Exons: 4
Source: RefSeq, a predicted model, not a curated record
CGUUCUCUCACCAAAUUCUGGCGAACGUCAUAUUAGAGGACAACAACUCUUUCACCAAAUUCGGGCGUACGUCAUAUCAGAGGACAACCGUUCUUUCACCAAAUAGUAGUGCUUCUUCUGAUUAUCCAAUGUCCCGGUAAGGUGUUUAAUAUUCUUACAUCAUCAUACUAUCUAUAUUCGCGUGUAACAAGAUACCGUAAUCGUCGUAAAUCUAAAUUGUCG